RNAcentral lists this small RNA (165 nucleotides) under Bacillus safensis. Its description in RNAcentral is "M-box riboswitch aptamer (ykoK leader)". It matches the Rfam family "M-box riboswitch aptamer (ykoK leader)". From Rfam's summary of the family: M-box riboswitch, also know as ykoK leader is described as a metaloregulatory RNA that sense divalent metals and function as a genetic control element of genes related to divalent metal transport in bacteria. Lineage: Bacteria; Bacillati; Bacillota; Bacilli; Caryophanales; Bacillaceae. The record is from Rfam by way of RNAcentral.
AUGAGACUUCGUUAGGUGAGGCUCCUGUAUGGAGAUACGCUGCUGCCCAAAAAUGUCCAAAGACGCCAAUGGGUCAACAGAAAUCAUCGACAUAAGGUGAUUUUUAAUGCAGCUGGAUUUGAUCCUAUGCCAUACAGUGCUAAAGCUCUACGAUUGAAGGAGCAA